UAAAUAGACCUACGAGGUGGGUGGUGCUUCUCAAACUCAUUGAACUUCUCUCUAUGCCUAAUGUGUCAUUCAAUUGAGCAUAUGUAUAUACCUUGUUGCAUGCAUUUUAGGGUAAAGUAACGAUGAAAACGUAAUGAUGCAUGAUUGUGAGUACAACUUGCAUAAUAUGAUGAAUGAGAACUAUAUGAUGUCGAAAACCCUAUGUGUAUGCAUGAGAGAAAAGUGAGCACCCAAAGUGAGCAAAGAACAGAGUGAC
This 256-nucleotide long non-coding RNA is filed under the name Ananas comosus (pineapple). RNAcentral's name for it is "long non-coding RNA (ACOM_LNC044324)". The record is from RNAcentral. Lineage: Eukaryota; Viridiplantae; Streptophyta; Magnoliopsida; Poales; Bromeliaceae.